UGGAAGCAAAUCAGACUCAUCAGAUUCUGAAUUUUAAAAGCUGCUGAAUUUCUUACUUUGAAUUUUUUUUGCAUCAAAAUUACGUAUGUGAAUUUUUUAUGCCUGAAUUUAGCUCAUCAAAAUUCUAAAAACCAGUUAAAAAUUCAAUGUCUUAAAAAUUCACCAUCAAAAAAUUCAAUGUUCAAAAUUCGCCAUCAAAAAAUUCAAUGUUCAAAAUUCGCUGUCAAAAAAUUUGCUGUUCACAUCCGGGGGACUCAGGCGUAAACAAUCGAUCCUGGCCAAUCACGUGGCGCUCCUCCGGUCAUGUGACGCAGACGGUUCACCUCACAAGACAGGGAUCAACCACGGCUACCAGCAUGAACGACGGCGCUUCAGACCCAUGCAGCGAGGACCCGAUGCCAGGUCCAGUGGACAGACUUCAGACGUCUCUGUGUGUCCCGUCCUGUCCGGUCCUGUCUCUGGUUGCCUGGUUACAGACGCUGCUGCACCCGCACGUUUAAAAAUGUCUACACCUGAAACUCCACCACGUCUAAAGAAGCAAAAACGUUUGCAAAUGUACAGACUGGAGUGGGAAGAGUGGAACCCCUGACAAUGGGUACAAGGCAAACUGUGUUUUCUGUUGCUCAUGGACUGGCUGAAGUAAGGCAGCAUCAGGAGACAAACAUGGAGGAAAUAUGAGAACAGAGAGAACCCAACCAGCAGGUCACAGUUUAUCAUCAUCUAAUCAUCUCCUGAAGUCGAUAUGGUCCCUCUCUAUCUCCCAACACAUCCACCAACCACUGGAACACAUCUCCAAAGUUCUGCUGGACCAGCUCAGCUUCCCCUCAGAAGAAGUGCAGCCACCUGCCAGAUGAAGGAGCCUUUUGAGAGGCAGCUGGCAUCGUGAUUGGACUGUACUUUGGUCUGUUCCAAUCCAGCUUCAGCUCCAGAGACGGCAGGCGGGACGAGUCAACGGAGGCCGGGUGGAUGAAGGCAUGCAGCUGAGUACAAUCCAGAAAACAACAGAGGAGGAGUGCAGCGGCCCAGAGCCAGAACAAACAGUAGCAUGGUAUGUCUCUUAGAAAACAUCCUAGUAUAGCCUUUGGUAUGAAAAAACACCAUCAUAUACAUCGUAUAUUGUACAAAUAACAAGUCAAAGGAAAGAGACAUACAUUGUAGAAUUGUAGUAAUUGUGGGCUGACUGAUUUACUGAUUAUCAGUAUUAUAUUGUUUUUGCUGAUUUAUGGUAAUAAAUACAUUUAAAAAUAGUGCUACUUUUGCUCUAAACCUUUACCUACCUGUGGUCACUCUGUCUUCUGGAGUGAUUUGAUUGGUUAUACGUCACGAAUAAAACUCCUUUAACUUAACAUCUGUAAACAAAACAAAAACGUAUCAACAAAGUUUCCUGUUAGUUUGUGUUCUUCUAAGUUUAACUCCAAGAUUUUAAAUAUUUUCAUUUACUGCAAAUGAAUAUCUACUCCAAAUGUCUCACUAAUAAUCAUUAUCAGCCUUAAAAACCCACAAAACACCCCUCUACACUCCACCACACUUAGUACAGUCCGGUUCCCCCUUCUAUAAAUCUGCUUGGAAUCCUCCACUUCCUGUUUGUCAAAGUGGCCUUCUACCUGGACAGGUUUUGUUGGAGCUCAUGCAACAAACAUUUUGGGUAACUGCACUUUAAUAUGGAUGGAUGACACUGAAUUAGAGUCUGUUUUAAUGAGACUGAGUUAAGAUGUGUAGCUCUGUCAUUAAAUAGGAAAUUAUUUCUCUGAAUUCACAGAGAAAAGUCUGAAAUGUUUGCUAGGUUAGCGUCCCACAUGUUCUUUGGCUCAGCUAAAGCUAACUCUUUCCAACUUCUGGAUCUCUUGAGUUGCUUGUUGUUAAAAUAUCUUGCUGUAGGUACUGAAGCUCAGAAAGUCUGAGAUGUUUGUUCAAAAUAAGCUCAUUCUCAAGUCUUAUCUGAACUGUCCUCUUUUGUUUGAACUUUCCCUAAACUUAGGAGUUAACGACAGAGCAGCACAUCCAGACUCAGUCUCAUUUAUGUAGAGAUUAAACUUCAGUGUCAUUCAUUGAUGUUAAAGUGCAGUUUUUCAAAUGUUUGUUGAACAUGCUCCCGACCAAACCAGUCCAGGUGGAAGACGAUGUGAAGAGAAAAGUCCAGAGGAUGAAUAUCACACAUUUAUGUUGGAAAUAAAUGUCCUUUCAUUAGACAUUGUCAUGCAAAAAUUGGAUUUCCCUUUAAUGAUGUUCAAAUCUUUGUUGAGUGUUUCGUGGAUGUUGGUUUCUAAAUGUUUUUUGACACUCGGUCCCAAAGAUUAAAACCUUCUACGGCUCACAAGCUGCAACAAUUCACACAUUAUCAACUAUGUUUCUGACUAAACUAAGAUAAAAAGUGAAAAACUGCCUGAUUCCUGCAUCAUGAAUGUAAAUCUUUUUGGUUUUUAUGACAGUAAACUGAAUAUAUUUGGGUUUGACAUUUUAUAAACCAAAACAAGAAAUGAAUUAGUGGAGAAAACAAUCAACAGAUUAAUGGUCAAAGAAACUGUGUUUUCCAACAUGUAUGGCUGAAUUAUUCCAUUACAAGAUACAUACAAUUUUAAUUCAAUUUUAUUUAUAUAACACCUAUUACAGGUGAAAUUGUCUCAAGACACUUCCAUUUUCUGUCACAUUUAAAAUAUGACAAAGUAAGAAAUUUAAACUUCUUGACUAAUCCAAUUUAUUAUUUGGUUUUUAAGAGACUAAUCGACAAUUAAAAUAACUUUCUCCACUAAAACUAAUAAACAUGAGGUCAAAUAGAAGGAACAGUUUUAAAUACUGCAGUCCCACAAUGACAAGAAUAAAGUUUCUCAACAAAAACUAAAUCUGCUGGUGGAUUCCGAUAAAGUCCUAAUAAAUGAUAAAGUGUGAUACUAAAGGUUUGUGGUGCUAAAAAUGUCCAAGUAAAGAUAUCAAGUUGAACAUCUGGAUGGAGGUUGAUAAAAGUUGACCUCCCUUCAUUUCUCUGGAGCGACUCCAUGGAUUUUAUGGAUGCUGGUUAAAGACCUGCUCUUCUAGUCGUCUUCCUUCUAGUCGCUGUAAAAAGUCAGUCCAUCCUGGCCGACAUCAACACCUCUUCAUGACAACUUGUUCUGCCUCCGACCUCAUGGAAACUCCAGAAACUCGGGAAAACCCAUGGAGACUCAAAGAACUCGUGGAGACUCGAAG
Molecule: long non-coding RNA, 3183 nt
Organism: Amphiprion ocellaris (clown anemonefish)
Lineage: Eukaryota; Metazoa; Chordata; Actinopteri; Pomacentridae
Exons: 3
Source: RefSeq, a predicted model, not a curated record